CCUACGGGAGGCAGCAGUGGGGAAUAUUGGACAAUGGGGGGAACCCUGAUCCAGCCAUGCCGCGUGUGUGAAGAAGGCCCUCGGGUUGUAAAGCACUUUCAGUGAGGAAGAACGCCUGGUGGUUAAUACCCAUCAGGAAAGACAUCACUCACAGAAGAAGCACCGGCUAACUCCGUGCCAGCAGCCGCGGUAAUACGGAGGGUGCGAGCGUUAAUCGGAAUUACUGGGCGUAAAGCGCGCGUAGGUGGCUUGAUAAGCCGGUUGUGAAAGCCCCGGGCUCAACCUGGGAACGGCAUCCGGAACUGUCAAGCUAGAGUGCAGGAGAGGAAGGUAGACUUCCCGGUGUAGCGGUGAAAUGCGUAGAGAUCGGGAGGAAUACCAGUGGCGAAGGCGGCCUUCUGGACUGACACUGACACUGAGGUGCGAAAGCGUGGGUAGCAAACAGGAUUAGAUACCCCGGUAGUC
This 465-nucleotide ribosomal RNA is filed under the name Vreelandella stevensii. Its description in RNAcentral is "partial 16S ribosomal RNA". It matches the Rfam family "Bacterial small subunit ribosomal RNA", at positions 338 to 795 of the family's 1533-position model. Lineage: Bacteria; Pseudomonadati; Pseudomonadota; Gammaproteobacteria; Oceanospirillales; Halomonadaceae. The record is from RNAcentral.